This 493-nucleotide ribosomal RNA is filed under the name uncultured bacterium. Its description in RNAcentral is "partial 16S ribosomal RNA". It matches the Rfam family "Bacterial small subunit ribosomal RNA", at positions 30 to 523 of the family's 1533-position model. The record is from RNAcentral.
AUUGAACGCUGGCGGCAUGCUUUACACAUGCAAGUCGAACGGUAACAGGUUAAGCUGACGAGUGGCGAACGGGUGAGUAAUGUAUCGGAACGUGCCCAGUCGUGGGGGAUAACGUAGCGAAAGCUACGCUAAUACCGCAUACGAUCUGUGGAUGAAAGCGGGGGACCGUAAGGCCUCGCGCGAUUGGAGCGGCCGAUAUCAGAUUAGGUAGUUGGUGGGGUAAAGGCCCACCAAGCCAACGAUCUGUAGCUGGUCUGAGAGGACGACCAGCCACACUGGGACUGAGACACGGCCCAGACUCCUACGGGAGGCAGCAGUGGGGAAUUUUGGACAAUGGGGGCAACCCUGAUCCAGCAAUGCCGCGUGCAGGAAGAAGGCCUUCGGGUUGUAAACUGCUUUUGUACGGAACGAAAAGGCUCUGGUUAAUACCUGGGGUUUAUGACGGUACCGUAAGAAUAAGCACCGGCUAACUACGUGCCAGCCGCCGCCGCGG